Molecule: ribosomal RNA, 253 nt
Filed under: uncultured bacterium
Lineage: Bacteria
Description: partial 16S ribosomal RNA
Rfam family: Bacterial small subunit ribosomal RNA
Source: RNAcentral
UACGUAGGGGGCAAGCGUUGUCCGGAAUCAUUGGGCGGAAAGAGCUCGUAGGCGGUCUGUCGCGUCUGCUGUGAAAACUCAGGGCUUAACCCUGAGCUUGCAGUGGGUACGGGCAGACUAGAGUGCGGUAGGGGAGACUGGAAUUCCUGGUGUAGCGGUGGAAUGCGCAGAUAUCAGGAGGAACACCGGUGGCGAAGGCGGGUCUCUGGGCAGUAACUGACGCUGAGGAGCGAAAGCGUGGGGAGCGAACAGG